This 477-nucleotide ribosomal RNA is filed under the name uncultured Oceanospirillaceae bacterium. RNAcentral describes it as "bacterial SSU rRNA". It matches the Rfam family "Bacterial small subunit ribosomal RNA", at positions 97 to 570 of the family's 1533-position model. The record is from RNAcentral. Lineage: Bacteria; Pseudomonadati; Pseudomonadota; Gammaproteobacteria; Oceanospirillales; Oceanospirillaceae.
GGCGGACGGGUGAGUAACGCGUAGAAAUCUGCCUGGUAGUGGGGGAUAGCCCAGAGAAAUUUGGAUUAAUACCGCAUACGCCCUACGGGGGAAAGCAGGGGACCUUCGGGCCUUGCGCUAUCAGAUGAGUCUGCGUCGGAUUAGCUUGUUGGUGAGGUAAUGGCUCACCAAGGCGACGAUCCGUAGCUGGUCUGAGAGGAUGAUCAGCCACACUGGGACUGAGACACGGCCCAGACUCCUACGGGAGGCAGCAGUGGGGAAUAUUGCACAAUGGGCGAAAGCCUGAUGCAGCCAUGCCGCGUGUGUGAAGAAGGCCUUAGGGUUGUAAAGCACUUUCAGCAGUGGGGAAAGGUUGUAGCCUAAUACGCUACAGCUGUGACGUUAACUGCAGAAGAAGGACCGGCUAACUCCGUGCCAGCAGCCGCGGUAAUACGGAGGGUCCGAGCGUUAAUCGGAAUUACUGGGCGUAAAGCGCGC